CCUGCCGAGGAGCGCUGCGACCCGACCGGUUUUUUCCGGACUCCGGGCCAGGCUCGGCAACGAUCAACGGCGCUCGCAAACC
Molecule: non-coding RNA, 82 nt
Filed under: Azospira oryzae
Lineage: Bacteria; Pseudomonadati; Pseudomonadota; Betaproteobacteria; Rhodocyclales; Rhodocyclaceae
Description: Dechlorosoma suillum SAH sequence
Rfam family: SAH (S-adenosyl-L-homocysteine) riboswitch aptamer
Source: RNAcentral